CACGGAGUUAGCCGGUGCUUCUUCUGCGAGUAACGUCAAUUGCUGCGGUUAUUAACCACAACGCCUUCCUCCUCGCUGAAAGUACUUUAAACCCGAAGGCCUUCUUCAUACACGCGGCAUGGCUGCAUCAGGCUUGCGCCCAUUGUGCAAUAUUCCCCA
Molecule: ribosomal RNA, 159 nt
Filed under: uncultured bacterium
Lineage: Bacteria
Description: partial 16S ribosomal RNA
Source: RNAcentral